ACACCAGUAGCCAAGUUGGUUAAGGCCCCGAACUCAUAAUUCGGUUAUCGUAGGUUCAAGUCCUACCUGGUGUACAA
This 77-nucleotide transfer RNA is filed under the name bacterium. Its description in RNAcentral is "tRNA-Met". It matches the Rfam family "tRNA". Rfam says of the family: Transfer RNA (tRNA) molecules are approximately 80 nucleotides in length. The record is from RNAcentral.